Molecule: ribosomal RNA, 199 nt
Filed under: uncultured bacterium
Lineage: Bacteria
Description: partial 16S ribosomal RNA
Rfam family: Bacterial small subunit ribosomal RNA
Source: RNAcentral
ACGCUCGACACCUACUGGAGGCAGCAGUGGGGAAUAUUGCACAAUGGGGGAAACCCUGAUGCAGCGACGCCGCGUGGAGGAAGAAGGUCUUCGGAUUGUAAACUCCUGUUGUUGGGGAAAAAGAGGAUGGUACCCAACAAGGAAGUGACGGCUAACUACGUGCCAACAGCCGCGGUAAUCUGAGCGGGCGUGGCAAGGC